AACGAACGCUGGCGGCAUGCCUAACACAUGCAAGUCGAACGAGACCUUCGGGUCUAGUGUCGCACGGGUUCGUAACGCGUUGGAACCUGCCCUUAGGCUCGGAAUAACUCCCCGAAAGGGGUGCUAAUACCUGAUCUUGUCUUCGGUCCAAAGUUUUAUCGCCUUUGGAUGGGCCCGCGUUGGAUUAGCUUGUUGGUAGGGUAAAAGGCUACCAAGGCGACGAUCCAUAGCUGGUUUGAGAGGAAGAUCAGCGACACUGGUACUGAGACACGGCCCAGAAUCCUGCGGGAGGGAGGAGAGGGGAAUAUUGGAAAAUGGGGGAAAGGCUGAAGCAGCAAUGCCGCGAGAGUGAUGAAGGACGGAGGGUUGAAAAGCUCGUUUACACGGGAUGAUAAUGACAGUACCGGGAGAAUAAGCUCCGGCUAACUCCGUG
This 433-nucleotide ribosomal RNA is filed under the name uncultured bacterium. RNAcentral's name for it is "partial 16S ribosomal RNA". It matches the Rfam family "Bacterial small subunit ribosomal RNA", at positions 29 to 507 of the family's 1533-position model. The record is from RNAcentral.